CCUACGGGCGACAGCAGUGAGGAAUAUUGGUCAAUGGGCGCGAGCCUGAACCAGCCAAGUCGCGUGAGGGAGUACUGCCCUAUGGGUUGUAAACCUCUUUUGUCGGGGAGCAAAAGCCGGACCUGUCCGGCUGUCAGAGUACCCGAAGAAAAAGCAUCGGCUAACUUCGUUCCAGCAGCCGCGGUAAUACGGAGGAUGCGAGCGUUAUCCGGAUUUAUUGGGUUUAAAGGGUGCGCAGGCGGAUUUUUAAGUCAGCGGUAAAAACGUGGGGCUCAACCCCCUCCAGCCGUUGAAACUGGGGGUCUAGAGAGUGCGAGAGGUAUGCGGAAUGCGUGGUGUAGCGGUGAAAUGCAUAGAUAUCGCGCAGAACCCCGAUUGCGAAGGCAGCAUACCGGUGCACAACUGACGCUCAGGCACGAAAGCGUGGGUAUCGAACAGGAUUAGAUACCCGAGUAGUC
This 458-nucleotide ribosomal RNA is filed under the name uncultured bacterium. RNAcentral's name for it is "partial 16S ribosomal RNA". It matches the Rfam family "Bacterial small subunit ribosomal RNA", at positions 338 to 795 of the family's 1533-position model. The record is from RNAcentral.